UCCCCUAGUAACGGCGAGUGAAGCGGGAAGAGCUCAAAUUUGAAAUCUGGCGGUCUCAGGCCGUCCGAGUUGUAAUCUAGAGAGGUGUUUUCCGUGCCGGACCGUGUACAAGUCCCUUGGAACAGGGCGUCAUAGAGGGUGAGAAUCCCGUCCAUGACACGGACUACCGGUGCUCUGUGAUACACCUUCAAAGAGUCGAGUUGUUUGGGAAUGCAGCUCAAAAUGGGUGGUAAAUUCCAUCUAAAGCUAAAUACAGGCGAGAGACCGAUAGCGAACAAGUACCGUGAGGGAAAGAUGAAAAGAACUUUGGAAAGAGAGUUAAACAGUACGUGAAAUUGUUGAAAGGGAAACGCUUGAAGUCAGUCGCGUCUGCCAGGACUCAGCCUUGCUUUUGCUUGGUGCACUUCUUGGUGGAUGGGCCAGCAUCGAUUUUGGCCGCCGGAAAAGGGCGGGAGGAAUGUGGCAGCUUUUGCUGUGUUAUAGCCUUCUGUCGUACACGGUGGUUGGGAUCGAGGACUGCAGCACGCCUUUGGUCGGGGUUCGCCCACGCCACGUGCUUAGGAUGCUGGCGUAAUGGCUUUAAACGACCCGUCUUGAAACACGGACCAAGGAGUCUAACAUGCCUGCGAGUGUUUGGGUGCAAAACCCAGGCGCGUAAUGAAAGUGAAAAGUUGGGACUCUUUAGUGAGGCACCGACGCCCGACCCUGAAGUCUUCUGACGGGUUUGAGGCAGAGCAUGUAUGUUGGGACCCGAAAGAUGGUGAACUAUGCCUGAAUAGGGUGAAGCCAGAGGAAACUCUGGUGGAGGCUCGUAGCGAUUCUGACGUGCAAAUCGAUCGUCAAAUUUGGGUAUAGGGGCGAAAGACUA
Molecule: ribosomal RNA, 868 nt
Filed under: Auricularia thailandica
Lineage: Eukaryota; Fungi; Basidiomycota; Agaricomycetes; Auriculariales; Auriculariaceae
Description: eukaryotic LSU rRNA
Rfam family: Eukaryotic large subunit ribosomal RNA
Source: RNAcentral